This 732-nucleotide ribosomal RNA is filed under the name uncultured bacterium. RNAcentral describes it as "bacterial SSU rRNA". It matches the Rfam family "Bacterial small subunit ribosomal RNA", at positions 8 to 722 of the family's 1533-position model. The record is from RNAcentral.
AGAGUUUGAUCAUGGCUCAGGACGAACGCUGGCGGCGUGCUUAACACAUGCAAGUCGAGCGGGAACCCAGGGAGGGGUAACCCUCCUUGGGGGAGAGCGGCGAACGGGUGAGUAACACGUGGGCAACCUGCCCCAGACACUGGGAUAACUCCGGGAAACCGGGGCUAAUACCGGAUACUUCGACCGGACCGCAUGAUCUGGUCGAGAAAGCUCCGACGGUCUGGGAUGGGCCCGCGGCCUAUCAGCUUGUUGGCGGGGUAACGGCCCACCAAGGCGACGACGGGUAGCUGGUCUGAGAGGACGGCCAGCCACACUGGGACUGAGACACGGCCCAGACUCCUACGGGAGGCAGCAGUGGGGAAUCUUGCGCUAAUGCGCGAAAGCGUGACGCAGCGACGCCGCGUGGGGGAUGAAGGCCUUCGGGUUGUAAACCCCUGUCGGGGGGGACGAAUACUCGGCCUCGAAUAGGGGACCGAGGGUGACGGUACCCCCAAAGGAAGCACCGGCUAACUCCGUGCCAGCAGCCGCGGUAAUACGGAGGGUGCAAGCGUUGUCCGGAAUCACUGGGCGUAAAGCGCGCGUAGGCGGCUUUUUAAGUCACUUGUGAAAUCCCGGGGCUCAACUCCGGGGCUGCAGGUGAGACUGGAUGGCUAGAGCUCGGUAGAGGCGAGUGGAAUUCCCGGUGUAGCGGUGGAAUGCGUAGAUAUCGGGAAGAACACCAGUGGCGAAGGC